This 1053-nucleotide long non-coding RNA is filed under the name Homo sapiens (human). Its description in RNAcentral is "non-protein coding PSORS1C3:1". The record is from RNAcentral. Lineage: Eukaryota; Metazoa; Chordata; Mammalia; Primates; Hominidae.
AAUCAAUCACGACACUUUCAUGUGAAAUCUUUAGUGUUGUGAGACCUUAAAAGGGACAGAAAUUGUGCAUUCAGGGAGUUUGGAUUUUAAGGCAGUAGCUUGCCGAUGCUCGCAGCUGAAUAAAGCCCUUCCUUCUACAACUCGGUGUCUGAAAGGUUUUGUCUGGGGCUCGUCCUGCUACAUUUCUUGGUUCCCUGAACAGGAAGCGAGGUAACUGACGGACGGCCAAGGCAGCCCCUUGGGUGGCUUAGGCCUGCCCUGUGGAGCAUCCCUGCGGUGGACUCUGGCCAGCCUGAGUGACGCGAUCCAAAGAGCGCUCCCGGGUAGGAAAUUCCCCGGGUGGAACGCCUCGCCAGAGCAGCACGUAGCAGGCCCCCGAGGAGGAUUAACACACUGGCUGAACACUGGGAAGGAACUGGCACUUGGAGUCCGGACAUCUGAAACUUGCAACCCACUCUCUGUGCUAUGACUUCAUUACUCUUUCCCAGCCCAGCCCUGGGCAAGCCCCUUACGAAGUCUCAGGCUACCUGGAUGACCACCCUUUCUUAUGAUGCUGCAAGGAGGGCAGGUGGGCAGAGCCCCGUGCAUCCUGGGCUCAGGCCAGGGACCCAAGAGCUUGGGAGAAGCUGGUUCUCAGACUGAAGGCCAGAGCCCAGCACCUUGUCACCAUCCCGGGGAGCAUCAUGGCACACAACAACCAGAGCCAAGGUGAUUGGGCUUGGGGGCUCAGGAGGAGGCAGAAAAGAGAGAAGAGCUCAAUAUGGGCCUGAAGAUGUGCAGCUGCAUUCGUUAUUGUUCAGCUAAGAUGCAUUGAGCUCUGCGUGGGGCACUGUGCUAGGCACUCAGAUACCAUCCCACUUCACUGAGAUCCUGAUGCUAUCUCCUCCUGCCUGGGGGAGUUCAUCCCUGACUCAAACCUUGUUUUAUGUACCCAGUGGUGCCAAAAGGACUGGGUCUUAGGUAUUAGCAAGAGUAGGACAGAAGUAUAAGACCCUCUGGCUGGGCGCGGUGGCUCAUGCCUGUAAUCCCAGCAGUUUGGGAGGCCGAGGCAGG